RNAcentral lists this ribosomal RNA (2990 nucleotides) under archaeon. RNAcentral describes it as "23S ribosomal RNA". It matches the Rfam family "Archaeal large subunit ribosomal RNA". The record is from RNAcentral.
GAUAAAGUUCUGUGCGCCAUUUAGUGGAUAACUUGGCUCAAGAGCUGAUGAAGGGCGUGGCAAGCUGCGAUAAGCCCUGGCGAGCCGCAUGCAGGCUUCGAACCAGGGAUACCUGAAUCAGUCUGAAAAGAUUGGGAACGCAGGGAAUUGAAGCAUCUUAGUACCUGCAGGAAAAGAAACCAAUUGGGAUGCCCCUAGUAAAGUCGAUCGAAAAGGGCAGAGGGCAAACUGAAUCCCGUGCCGUAAGGUUCGGGAGAUGUGGUGUAUCGGCCCGGAGCACUAAUCCUUUAGGCCAGUGGAAGUGAACUGGAAUGUUCUGCCAUAGAGCGUGAAAGCCGCGUACAUAAAACCGAUGGGAUAGAUUUCUGGAGUCCGUGAGUACCGCGCGUUGGAUAUCGCGUGGGAACAUGGGAGGCAUUAACUUCCAACCCUAAAUACUCCUUGAGACCGAUAGCUCACUAGUACUGUGAGGGAAAGUUGAAAAGUACCCCUGACGGGGAGUUAAAAGCACUUGAAACUAAAUGGCUAUAGGAAGACAGGGCCGGAAAGAUAAGAGGCGCAAAAAAGUUUCUGCGGGCAACCAAUGAAGCGAUUUGUGCCGAUACACGGUCGUGUCGUUCGUCCUGAAGCACGAGCGAGGGACUUAAUGGUUGUGGCAAGGCUAAACCUUUCAAGGGUGGAGCCGCAGCGAAAGCGAUGCCCCGCAGUUUCGAUGAGGGGGAAAGUGCACCAAGUGCUUUUAGUCACAGUCAUCAGACCCGAAACCAUGUGAUCUACUCCUGGGCAAGAUGAAGUCCCGCAUCCGCGGGAUGGAGGUCUGAAUCCAGUGUUAAUCCAAUUGCUUGGGUGAUCUGGGAGUAGGAGUAAUAUGCCAAUCGAACAUGGUGAUAGCGGGCUCCUUCCGAAGUAGCUCUUAGGCUAGCCUGGCUGGAGAACGAAUGCAGGGUAGAGAUACUGAUUAAAAAGUACUGACCCGAAAGGGUUAGCUUUUUUGUCAAACUCCCAAUCUGUAUUCUUCGUAGAAGGUCGGAGUAGGGGCACCGGGGUAAGCUUGGUGUCCUGAAGGGGAACAACCCAAACUCAGGUUAAGGCCCAUAAAUGCUGGUUAAGUGUUAGUGGAAAAGUGUCUUCACCCUAAAACAGUAGGGAGGUUGGCUUAGAAGCAGCCAUCCUUUAAAGAAAGCGUAAUAGCUCACCUAUCUAGGGUGCAGGCCUUGAAGAUUAUCUGGGCUAAACCAGCUGCCGAUACCCGGGAAAACAAGGAGUACUUGUUUUUUGGUAGGAAGGUGUCUUGAAAGAACAGAAGCAAGGGAGUAAUCUCUUGUGGAUCUCUCAAGAAUAUGGAUCCUCGUGAAAGUAAUGUUAUAGAGGCGUGAGAAUCGCCUCCGUCGAAAGGGCUAGGGUUCCUUAGCGCUCAUCGUGAGCUAAGGGUUAGCCGGUCCUAAACCCAGCAGUAAUACUGUAUGGGUGAAAGGGAAACACGUUCAUAUUCGUGUGCCACACAAAUACGUUUUCGGCGACGAUUGCCUGUCUUUUGACCUGUUGGGCUAAGCUGACCACCCUUGUCUGGGUGGCUAACAAGUAUAAGCCUCCGGAGAACCGUAAUGGUGAGAAGGAGGCUAAAGCUUGGAUGGGGAGCAAUCUUUAGCUGAGGCCUGGCAGCCGUGAAAAAAAAGACAGGAAGGAUUUUGUGUGUCCGUACCGAGAACCGGGAAUCGUGCCCCUGGCUUAGAAAGCCAAGACGUCUCAGGAACUUAUCGUGCCAAGGGAACUCGGCAAAUUAGCCCUAUAUCUUAGGUAUAAGGGGUGCCUAUAGCUGCGUAAGCUGUAGGUUUCAACAACGGGGGGAGUCCGACUGUUUAUUAAAAACGUAGGUGACUGCUAGCCCGCAAGGGUGAGAAUAGUCACUGACUUCUGCUCACUGCCAGUACGUGAAAGCCCUUUCCAAGGGGUCUAAGCGCUGGUGAAGAGCGGGCCUAACUCUGAGGCUCUCACGGUAGCGUAAUACCUUGCCGGUUUAUUGCCGGCUUGCACCAAGGAAGUAACGAGAUUCCCAAUGUCCCUGGCAUGAGCCUGAUGAAAUCACUUCCCCGUGAAUAUGCGGGGGAUCUCCAACGGGAAGAGAAGACCCCACGGAAGUUUACUGCAGCCAGAUGUUGCUGUGUGGUUUUUGGUGUGGAGCGUAGAUGGGAGCCUUCGAAGCAGUUUCGCCAGGAAUUGUGGAGGCAAAAGUGGAACACCAUCCUCUGAAAACUACAUAGCUAACCUUACAAGAGGGACACCGUUUGGUGGGCAGUUAGGCUGGGGUGGCACGCCCCUGAAAAGAUAUCAGGGGCGCCCAAAGGUUUGCUCAUCCGAGUCAGAAAUUCGGAGUAGAGCGCAAGGGCAAAAGCAAGCUUGACCAUGUUCCUCAAAGCACGGAACGUGGAAACGAAAGUUGGGCCUAGCGAACGCUAGUGCGCCAAUUAAUGGGGCCCUAGUCUGACAAUGAACUUACCCUGGGGGUAAUUGAGUGGUCGCGGGUAAGAGUCCACAUCGACCCCGCGGUUUGCGACCUCGCCGUCGUCUCAGGUCAUCCUGGCUGUGCAUAAGCAGCCAAGGGUGGAGGUGUUAACUCAUUAAAGACCUACGUUAGUUGGGUUGAGAACGGUGCGAGCCAGUUUGGAUACUAUCUGUUGGAGAUGCGGAGUGCCUGAAGGGAAGCUCCAUUUAGUACGAGAGGAACGGUGGGGCGUGGCCACUGGUCUACCGGUUGUCCGACAGGGCAGUUGCCGGGUAGCUACGCCAUAGCUUAUAAGAGCUGAAAGCAUCUAAGCUCGAAGAAGCCCCUAAAAAGAGGCACUCGUUCCCGAACACUUUUGCUCUACGGAGCAGAAGAAGUAGGGACGAGGACACAGGUAGAACACCUGUUUGAUAGACUGGAGGUGUAAGCGCGAAGCUCACGCGACGCGUUCAGCCGACCAGCACUAAAAGUCCAAGAGAACUUCAUC